CUUAGUUGAUUAUAUGAUGUUUUGCUUAUACAAUUUUUGAACAUCCAUGGUGCUUUGCGGUAGCUUCCCAUGUUUUUGUUUCCUUAUUAACUCGAAAGGCAUGAUCAAGAACCUUUGUCAUUCCUCUUUUUCACUAUGACAAAUCUUGAGUGGCUGUAUAUACUAACUUGUACUGCCACUAGUUGCUAUUUUAGUUUUUGAACGCAUGUCUUUAAGCAAAGCCUUGCCCAUUCUGGUCUUGUGAAUGGACUUGUGGACAUGAAUCGAGAGCUUUUCCACAUUGGGCAGGGUCGUGUGGCAGAUGCUGUUAUUUUCCAAGCUACUUUGGUAUAUGGGUUUUUUGCUUGUUGUUCAUCAGUGGGUUUGAUUUGUUACGAGGGACUGCAUGAUGAAAUUUAUUUUGAUCAUGGAACACCUACUGCAAUGCAGUACACAAUUUGUUUUCUUUUAUUGUAUUUGUCAAAUGUGGCAUGUAAAAUUCCUGGCAAUACUUAACCGGCAGCAACAUUUUUCAUGCUUUA
Populus nigra (black poplar) is the source of this 521-nucleotide long non-coding RNA. RefSeq lists it as uncharacterized. Lineage: Eukaryota; Viridiplantae; Streptophyta; Magnoliopsida; Malpighiales; Salicaceae. The record is from RefSeq and is a predicted model, not a curated record. The transcript has 2 exons.